RNAcentral lists this ribosomal RNA (489 nucleotides) under uncultured bacterium. RNAcentral's name for it is "bacterial SSU rRNA". It matches the Rfam family "Bacterial small subunit ribosomal RNA", at positions 28 to 507 of the family's 1533-position model. The record is from RNAcentral.
GAUGAACGCUAGCUACAGGCUUAACACAUGCAAGUCGAGGGGAAACGACAGAGGAAGCUUGCUUCCUUGGGCGUCGACCGGCGCACGGGUGAGUAACGCGUAUCCAACCUACCCUUGUCCAUCGGAUAACCCGUCGAAAGGCGGCCUAACACGAUAUGCGGUUCACAGCAGGCAUCUAACGUGAACGAAAUGUGAAGGAGAAGGAUGGGGAUGCGUCUGAUUAGCUUGUUGGCGGGGUAACGGCCCACCAAGGCUACGAUCAGUAGGGGUUCUGAGAGGAAGGUCCCCCACAUUGGAACUGAGACACGGUCCAAACUCCUACGGGAGGCAGCAGUGAGGAAUAUUGGUCAAUGGGCGAGAGCCUGAACCAGCCAAGUAGCGUGCAGGAAGACGGCCCUAUGGGUUGUAAACUGCUUUUAUAGGGGAAUAAAGUGAUCCACGUGUGGUUUUUUGCAUGUACCCUAUGAAUAAGGACCGGCUAAUUCCGUG